Hevea brasiliensis (rubber tree) is the source of this 107-nucleotide small nucleolar RNA. NCBI's taxonomy places the organism in Eukaryota, Viridiplantae, Streptophyta, Magnoliopsida, Malpighiales, Euphorbiaceae. The record is from RefSeq and is a predicted model, not a curated record.
AUGCCAUGUUAUGGGCACUCCCUCUGAAGAUCUUUAUACCUUUCCAAUGCAUGAUAGAUAGAUUCAUUAUCUUUUUGUCUAAAGGUGUUGAGUUCAGCUAUAAGUUU